AGGCCUGGCGAAGUGCAUUG
This 20-nucleotide microRNA is filed under the name Ciona intestinalis (vase tunicate). RNAcentral's name for it is "cin-miR-92c-5p". Its record names the gene cin-miR-92c-5p. Lineage: Eukaryota; Metazoa; Chordata; Ascidiacea; Phlebobranchia; Cionidae. The record is from miRBase by way of RNAcentral.